This 469-nucleotide ribosomal RNA is filed under the name uncultured bacterium. Its description in RNAcentral is "partial 16S ribosomal RNA". It matches the Rfam family "Bacterial small subunit ribosomal RNA", at positions 28 to 507 of the family's 1533-position model. The record is from RNAcentral.
GACGAACGCUGGCGGCGUGCUUAACACAUGCAAGUCGAACGGAAAGGCCCUGCUUUUGUGGGGUGCUCGAGUGGCGAACGGGUGAGUAACACGUGAGUAACCUGCCCUUGACUUUGGGAUAACUUCAGGAGACUGGGGCUAAUACCGGAUAGGAGCUCCUGCUGCAUGGUGGGGGUUGGAAAGUUUCGGCGGUUGGGGAUGGACUCGCGGCUUAUCAGCUUGUUGGUGGGGUAGUGGCUUACCAAGGCUUUGACGGGUAGCCGGCCUGAGAGGGUGACCGGCCACAUUGGGACUGAGAUACGGCCCAGACUCCUACGGGAGGCAGCAGUGGGGAAUAUUGCACAAUGGGCGGAAGCCUGAUGCAGCAACGCCGCGUGCGGGAUGACGGCCUUCGGGUUGUAAACCGCUUUCGCUCAUGACGAAGCUUUGUGUGACGGUAGUGGGUAAAGAAGCACCGGCUAACUACGUG